Molecule: ribosomal RNA, 490 nt
Filed under: uncultured bacterium
Lineage: Bacteria
Description: partial 16S ribosomal RNA
Rfam family: Bacterial small subunit ribosomal RNA
Source: RNAcentral
AUUGAACGCUGGUGGCAUGCCUUACACAUGCAAGUCGAACGGCAGCAUGAUCUAGCUUGCUAGAUUGAUGGCGAGUGGCGAACGGGUGAGUAAUACAUCGGAACGUGCCCUGUAGUGGGGGAUAACUAGUCGAAAGAUUAGCUAAUACCGCAUACGACCUGAGGGUGAAAGUGGGGGACCGCAAGGCCUCAUGCUAUAGGAGCGGCCGAUGUCUGAUUAGCUAGUUGGUGAGGUAAAGGCUCACCAAGGCGACGAUCAGUAGCUGGUCUGAGAGGACGAUCAGCCACACUGGGACUGAGACACGGCCCAGACUCCUACGGGAGGCAGCAGUGGGGAAUUUUGGACAAUGGGCGAAAGCCUGAUCCAGCAAUGCCGCGUGUGUGAAGAAGGCCUUCGGGUUGUAAAGCACUUUUGUCCGGAAAGAAAUGGCUCUGGUUAAUACCUGGGGUCGAUGACGGUACCGGAAGAAUAAGGACCGGCUAACUACGUG